RNAcentral lists this ribosomal RNA (388 nucleotides) under uncultured bacterium. RNAcentral describes it as "bacterial SSU rRNA". It matches the Rfam family "Archaeal small subunit ribosomal RNA", at positions 339 to 727 of the family's 1478-position model. The record is from RNAcentral.
GCGCGAAAAUUUCGCAAUGCACGCAAGUGUGACGAAGGAAUUCAGAGUGCUUUCUCUUUUUGAGGAAGCUUUUGCCAAGUCCAAAAAGCUUGGCGAAUAAGUGGUGGGUAAGACAGGUGCCAGCCGCCGCGGUAAUACCUGCGCCACGAGUGGUAACCACGUUUAUUGGGUUUAAAGCGUUCGUAGCCGGCUUGGAAAGUUUCUAAUGAAAUCCCGCAGCUGACUGCGGGGCUUGUUAGAAAUACUUCCAGGCUUGGAACCGGGAGAGGUCGAGGGUAUUAUUGGGGUAGGGGUAAAAUCCUAUAAUCCCAAUAAGACCACCUGUGGCGAAGGCGCUCGACUAGAACGGAUUCGACGGUGAGGGACGAAAGCCAGGGGAGCAAAGCGG